GCCUCUGCUCUCUCUCGGGAGUAUCCUGGUGCCUGAGGGAAUGUGACAUUAAAUGGCAGACAAAAAACACCAGGACAGGUUGAGAGACCGCAGAAGAAAGGAGAGUGAUUGUUUCUUUUUCAACAGAGGGCCCUGCAUUUUUGUUUCACCCUGGGCCCCAUAAAUUACAUAGCCAGCCCUGCCUACUAGACUGACUUCACACCUACUUGGUGAAUUGUGACUGGCAGUUCCAAAAACACUGCCCUAGACAGCAGAAUGUUACAGCUGACCAAACCACAAGCUUUCCUCAGACAGACUGACAUUUAGAUCCCAGUGCUACAAGGAGCUGGCUGUGUGACUUUGGGCCAGUCACUCAGCUCUCAACUUCUGUGUCUUCAUCUGUAACACCAGGAUAACGAUAGGAUUUACCCUUAGAGUUGGGUGAGGACUAAGUAAGGAAACAUAAAAGAGCAGUGCCCUGAAUUUAGUAAGCAAGCAGUUAUCAUUAUUACUGGGUCCCUCAGGUCUUUGGCCUGGCUCUGAUUUUUCCCACUUUGAGUUGCUUCUCUGAGGAGGCGAUUUCUUUUUUUCUUUUUCUUUUCUUUCUUUUCUUUUCUUUUCUCUUCCUUCUUUCCUUCCUUCCUUACUUCUCUUCCUUCCUUCCUUCCUUCCCUCCUUCCUUCCUUCCUCUCUCUCCCUCUCUCUCUCUUUCUUUCUUUUGGAGGGGAUUUCUGAGCUGGGUUUUGAGGAGCAAGCAGGAGUUUUACCAGGUGAAUAAGAGAGGGAAGAGAAUGUUGGGCAGACAGGCUGCAGCGCAGAGCCUCAGAGGCAUGCUGUCUUUAAGGGAAGUGGGAGCAGACCAGUUUGACAGUGUGUACUUCUGGGAGUGGGGAGGUGAGCCACUGGGAGGCAGGGGUGGGGUUGCUGAGGCUGGAGGUGGGAGGGGCCUAUCCUGGGGAGGAGGGCCCUGGGCGGCCUGGACUCACCUGGCAGCUGAUGAAGGCAGGGAGUGUUUUAGGCAGGCGAGAAGCAUGAUCAGACCUGUGCUUUCCGAGGUCACCCAGGCCGUGGGGUAGAAGAUGGAUGGAAGAGAGUAAAACCAGAGGCUUCUGGAAGAGGCCAGAAACAAUUAGACUUGAUUUUUAGACCAAGAAAUGUAAUCAUCAGUGACAUCUCAGAAUCUCAGGGUUUUGCUGCGCGUUUGAAGGAAAGAACAAAGCUUUGGUGGUGGAAAAUACGGAGACACGGUGGUUACUGUUGGAACAAGAUUACUGAAUUCUCCUAACAACCCUCUGAGGGACUGCCUCUGGAGAAGGGGGCCGGGCUCCUGCAGCUGGCUUGGAACCCGCCAUGCAACUGUGGGCGAGAGAAACAACCCAGGACCACCCAGGACGGGAGGCCGGCUUCAGAUGCAGCUCUCAGGCUGGCCGGGG
Long non-coding RNA from Hippopotamus amphibius kiboko, 1412 nucleotides. RefSeq lists it as uncharacterized. The record is from RefSeq and is a predicted model, not a curated record. The transcript is spliced from 3 exons. NCBI's taxonomy places the organism in Eukaryota, Metazoa, Chordata, Mammalia, Artiodactyla, Hippopotamidae.